GAUUGAACGCUGGCGGCAGGCCUACCACAUGCAAGUCGAGCGGAUGAAGGGAGCUUGCUCCUGGAUUCAGCGGCGGACGGGUGAGUAAUGCCUAGGAAUCUGCCUGGUAGUGGGGGAUAACGUCCGGAAACGGGCGCUAAUACCGCAUACGUCCUGAGGGAGAAAGUGGGGGAUCUUCGGACCUCACGCUAUCAGAUGAGCCUAGGUCGGAUUAGCUAGUUGGUGGGGUAAAGGCCUACCAAGGCGACGAUCCGUAACUGGUCUGAGAGGAUGAUCAGUCACACUGGAACUGAGACACGGUCCAGACUCCUACGGGAGGCAGCAGUGGGGAAUAUUGGACAAUGGGCGAAAGCCUGAUCCAGCCAUGCCGCGGGGGUGAAGAAGGUCUUCGGAUUGUAAAGCACUUUAAGUUGGGAGGAAGGGCAGUAAGUUAAUACCUUGCUGUUUUGACGUUACCAACAGAAUAAGCACCGGCUAACUUCGUGC
Molecule: ribosomal RNA, 486 nt
Filed under: uncultured bacterium
Lineage: Bacteria
Description: partial 16S ribosomal RNA
Rfam family: Bacterial small subunit ribosomal RNA
Source: RNAcentral